RNAcentral lists this ribosomal RNA (447 nucleotides) under uncultured bacterium. Its description in RNAcentral is "partial 16S ribosomal RNA". It matches the Rfam family "Bacterial small subunit ribosomal RNA", at positions 29 to 523 of the family's 1533-position model. The record is from RNAcentral.
AGCGAACGCUGGCGGCAGGCUUAACACAUGCAAGUCGAGCGCCCCGCAAGGGGAGCGGCAGACGGGAGAGUAACACGUGGGAACGUACACUUUAGUUCGGAACAACACCGGGAAACUUGGGCUAAUACCGGAUACGUCCGUAAGGAGAAAGAUUUAUCGCUAAAGGAUCGGCCCGCGUCUGAUUAGCUAGUUGGUGAGGUAACGGCUCACCAAGGCGACGAUCAGUAGCUGGUCUGAGAGGAUGAUCAGCCUCACUGGGACUGAGACACGGCCCAGACUCCUACGGGAGGCAGCAGGGGGGAAUAUUGGACAAUGGGCGCAAGCCUGAUCCAGCCAUGCCGCGUGGGUGAUGAAGGCCCUAGGGUUGUAAAGCCCUUUCGGCGGGGAAGAUAAUGACGGUACCCGCAGAAGAAGCCCCGGCUAACUUCGUGCCAGCAGCCGCGGUAA